GCCGGCCUUGCAUGGACUGGCUGUGGACAUCCUGUGAUCUCCCCUGCCGGCUAGGGCCCAUAGACAUUGCGGCCCACCGGGCAUUUGCCCGGUGUGCCCAAUGGCCAGGCCGGGCCUGUGUCCAACAGUAAGGUAGGUUACCUUAAAUUAUUUGAGUCCAUGAUCUGGCCCACACAGGUUCCUACAUUCUCAGAUACUAUCCUACGUUUUCUCAAUAUUAGGUUGCUCUACCCUACUACUAUCCUUACUCUACUCCUACU
Non-coding RNA from Pelobates cultripes (western spadefoot toad), 260 nucleotides. Lineage: Eukaryota; Metazoa; Chordata; Amphibia; Anura; Pelobatidae. The record is from the annotation of a GenBank genome assembly.